This 109-nucleotide small nucleolar RNA is filed under the name Sorghum bicolor (sorghum). RNAcentral's name for it is "Plant small nucleolar RNA R71". It matches the Rfam family "Plant small nucleolar RNA R71". From Rfam's summary of the family: R71 is a member of the C/D box family of snoRNAs containing the C (UGAUGA) and D (CUGA) box motifs. Multiple nearly identical copies of this snoRNA have been identified in Arabidopsis, and it is thought to function as a 2'-O-ribose methylation guide for 18S ribosomal RNA. Lineage: Eukaryota; Viridiplantae; Streptophyta; Magnoliopsida; Poales; Poaceae. The record is from Rfam by way of RNAcentral.
AUUCCAUGAUGCGGGGCAGUCUGAUAUGUAUCCUUGAAAACGCUCCCAUGCUUCUGGAAUAGGUUCACCUUUCUGCUGAUGAAAUUCUGAAAUCUUCCCUCGUAAGAUA